CUUAUGUACCAGGAACUAUAUUAGGCACCCUACAUGCAAGGUCUCAUUUAACAGCGGUGCGAGGUAAACACUGUUUCUCCGGAUCACAAAGGAGAAACCUGAAGGCAGGAGAGGUUAAGGAGGUUGCUUGGGGUCACAGGUAGUAAGUGGCAAAGAUUUCAUGCAAACCCAGCGCCUUUGGAUUCUGAAGCCCGUGCUCUUGCCAGGGCCCCACAGUGUCCUCACAAACUCCACUGCAGAGGGCAAAACACCAGCCGCACCUCAUCUCUGUCCUCACCCAGGUGUUUCUCCAGAGGAGCCCACAGGCCUCUUGAGUCCAGACAGGGGAGAAUUGCUUGUCACCAUUACUUUCUCUUUUGCCUAACGGCUUCUGCUGCCUUGAGAGGGUUACGCAGUGGCUCUCCAGGGGGCUGGAGGCUCACCAGGGGCACGUGUGCCUGAGCCAGCCUCGCUGUCCCUGCAGUGAUCAUGUCCGACGAGGCCGUGGAGGAGAGGCGGGCCUUGAUCAAGCGGAAGAAAAGUGAACGGACAGGGAUUCAGCCACUGGGAGUGCAGGGGCUGACAGAGGAGCAGCGGAUGAUGAUCAGGGAGCUGAUGGACGCUCAGAUGAAAACCUUUGACACUACCUUCUCCCAUUUCAAGAAUUUCCGGCUGCCAGGGGUGCUUAGCAGUGGCUGCGAGUUGCCAGAGUCUCUGCAGGCCCCAUCGAGGGAAGAAGCUGCCAAGUGGAGCCAGGUCAGGAAAGAUCUGUGCUCUUUGAAGGUCUCUCUGCAGCUGCGGGGGGAGGAUGGCAGUGUCUGGAACUACAAACCCCCAGCCGACAAUGGCGGGAAAGAGAUCUUCUCCCUGCUGCCCCACAUGGCUGACAUGUCAACCUACAUGUUCAAAGGCAUCAUCAACUUUGCCAAAGUCAUCUCCUACUUCAGGGACUUGCCCAUCGAGGACCAGAUCGCCCUGCUGAAGGGGGCCGCUUUCGAGCUGUGUCAACUGAGAUUCAACACAGUGUUCAACGCGGAGACUGGAACCUGGGAGUGUGGCCGGCUGUCCUACUGCUUGGAAGACACUGCAGGUGGCUUCCAGCAACUUCUACUGGAGCCCAUGCUGAAAUUCCACUACAUGCUGAAGAAGCUGCAGCUGCAUGAGGAGGAGUAUGUGCUGAUGCAGGCCAUCUCCCUCUUCUCCCCAGACCGCCCAGGUGUGGUGCAGCACCGCGUGGUGGACCAGCUGCAGGAGAAAUUCGCCAUUACUCUGAAGUCCUACAUUGAAUGCAAUCGGCCCCAGCCUGCUCAUAGGUUCUUGUUCCUGAAGAUCAUGGCUAUGCUCACCGAGCUCCGCAGCAUCAAUGCUCAGCACACCCAGCGGCUGCUGCGCAUCCAGGACAUACACCCCUUUGCUACGCCCCUCAUGCAGGAGUUGUUCGGCAUCACAGGUAGCUGAGCGGCUGCCCUUGGGUGAUACCUCCGAGAGGCAGCCAGACCCAGAGCCCUCUGAGCCGCCACUCCCGGGCCAAGACAGAUGGACACUGCCAAGAGCCGACAAUGCCCUGCUGGCCUGUCUCCCUAGGGAAUUCCUGCUAUGACAGCUGGCUAGCAUUCCUCAGGAAGGACAUGGGUGCCCCCCACCCCCAGUUCAGUCUGUAGGGAGUGAAGCCACAGACUCUUAUGUGGAGAGUGCACUGACCUGUAGGUCAGGACCAUCAGAGAGGCAAGGUUGCCCUUUCCUUUUAAAAGGCCCUGUGAUCUGGGGAGAAAUCCCUCAGAUCCCACUAAAGUGUCAAGGUGUGGAAGGGACCAAGAGACCAAGGCUGGGCCAUCUGGGGUCUAUGCCCACAUACCCACGUUCGUUCGCUUCCUGAGUCUUUUCAUUGCUACCUCUAAUAGUCCUGUCUCCCACUUCCCACUCGUUCCCCUCCUCUUCCGAGCUGCUUUGUGGGCUCCAGGCCUGUACUCAUCGGCAGGCGCAUGAGUAGCUGUGGGAGUCCUCUAGAGAGAUGAGAAGCCAGGAGGCCUGCACCAAAUGUCAGAAGCUUGGCAUGACCUCAUUCCGGCCACAUCAUUCUGUGUCUCUGCAUCCAUUUGAACACAUUAUUAAGCACUGAUAAUAGGUAGCCUGCUGUGGGGUAUACAGCAUUGACUCAGAUAUAGAUCCUGAGUUCACAGAGUUUAUAGUUAAAAAAACAAACAGAAACACAAACAAUUUGGAUCAAAAGGAGAAAUGAUAAGUGACAAAAGCAGCACAAGGAAUUUCCCUGUGUGGAUGCUGAGCUGUGAUGGCGGGCACUGGGUACCCAAGUGAAGGUUCCCGAGGACAUGAGUCUGUGGGAGCAAGGGCACAAACUGCAGCUGUGAGUGCGUGUGUGUGAUUUGGUGUAGGUAGGUCUGUUUGCCACUUGAUGGGGCUUGGGUUUGUUCCUGGGGCUGGAAUGCUGGGUAUGCUCUGUGACAAGUCUACGCUGACAAUCAGUUAAACACACCGGAGAAGAACCAUUUACAUGCACCUUAUAUUUCUGUGUACACAUCUAUUCUCAAAGCUAAAGGGUAUGAAAGUGCCUGCCUUGUUUAUAGCCACUUGUGAGUAAAAAUUUUUUUGCAUUUUCACAAAUUAUACUUUAUAUAAGGCAUUCCACACCUAAGAACUAGUUUUGGGAAAUGUAGCCCUGGGUUUAAUGUCAAAUCAAGGCAAAAGGAAUUAAAUAAUGUACUUUUGGCU
Molecule: small RNA, 2709 nt
Filed under: Pan troglodytes (chimpanzee)
Lineage: Eukaryota; Metazoa; Chordata; Mammalia; Primates; Hominidae
Description: retained intron
Source: RNAcentral